This 77-nucleotide transfer RNA is filed under the name Bacteroidia bacterium. RNAcentral describes it as "tRNA-Ile". It matches the Rfam family "tRNA". Rfam says of the family: Transfer RNA (tRNA) molecules are approximately 80 nucleotides in length. The record is from RNAcentral. Lineage: Bacteria; Pseudomonadati; Bacteroidota; Bacteroidia.
CGUUGUAUAGUUCAGUCGGUUAGAACGCUUCCCUGAUAAGGAGGAGGUCGAUGGUUCAAGUCCAUCUACAACGACCA